This is a long non-coding RNA of Anguilla rostrata (American eel), 4650 nucleotides long. RefSeq lists it as uncharacterized. NCBI's taxonomy places the organism in Eukaryota, Metazoa, Chordata, Actinopteri, Anguilliformes, Anguillidae. The transcript has 3 exons. The record is from RefSeq and is a predicted model, not a curated record.
GUCAACACAAUGUGUAACAUUAACCUAUUUAAUUAUUGGGAUACCCACCUUUGGAUAAGAUUUUUGCGAUGGAUUGUGCCAAAGACGGCUUCUCCGCGACCAUCAAGACCGUCCUCAUUGUUGACAAUCCUAGAGUUUCCAGAAGGAUUUGUGAGCAGCUCUCGGACUAAUGCAACCGUCCCCUCGUGUGUGGCAGACCAGCGGCGUCCGCGAAAAUUGUGAGGAUUUUGCAUAUGCUGCCAAGGCACGCGCCAUUUCCGUGCCCACCAGCAGGGCUGCGCAGAGCCUGGAAUUCACACGACGUCAGCAAACUCGCCACGUGACGGCUGUGGUAAGACGUUUGCAAUUCAAUUGGAAACCUUCAUCAUUCGAAUUUUUCCACUCUAAUGUUUUUCCUCUCAAAUGACUUGCAGACAAGCUAUUUGCUGCUUUGUUAAUAAUGUAUAUCUACGUGCCUUGCUGACGAGACCCUAUCAAUAUUGCCUCUGCUUUUUUGUGUAUAAAUGGAGUAGUGCAAUAUUGCUUAUAGGGUCUUGACUUUGAGGAAUGUUCUUCUAAUUCUUAAGUUAUUUUCUUGCUUCGCCCUACACGCUAUUUGCUUCAUUAGAACUUUCAUGCUAAGAUGUUCACGUAAGUUAUGAGAUGUUACCAUGUACUUGUUGCUGUUUGGGUGUUCUAAUUACUGUUAGUGUUUAAAAGCUCUAGUGUUGUGAAGCACAAUCAGACAACAGUUCUUUGGUGUUCUGAGUGUCAUGCAAAAUUGUUUUAUUAAAACUGAGUGAGCUGGAGGCUGUGGCUCUUUCAGAGUGGGGCAGGAGGAGACUGUUUAAAAUGCUCCUGUCCCAGUGUCGAGGGAGGUGUGUCACAAUCGGUGAGCGGCUUGUUUACAGCUACUGAAGCACCAGUGGAGGAGGAAGUCACCGUUGGUGUGCUUCGGAGUGACUCAACCCAACAAACCCUACAGUACCGUGUGAUUAACAGAGUUCCCUCCUCAGGUGAUGGCCCAGGGAAGCUGGAGCACAUUCUGCGUACCCGCUAGCACAUUGUCAAGGGUGGGAGCCAGUGGGUGGCCCCCACUUUCCAAAACCAGAUGGGCUGCUGUCUACGUACAGCCAUUUCCAGGAAACUCAGAGGGAAGGAUUCUGGCCUUUCUUCAUGAAUUGGCUUUGCACAUGUCUUGAAUGCAUACAUUCUGUGGAUAAACCUUUAAUCUCAAAGGAUGCUUCUUUUAUGAGAAGGAGAAGCAGAAUUUUAAUUUUGAUGCUGGUUGAACUGCUGAAAUUGUGCUGGUUAGUUGCAGUUGUCGGGCCCGUUGGCUGUCAAUGCUGUUCGGUUACGUGGCUGAUGAAAAAAGACGUGUUUGCAGCCAUAUGGGGCUAAUUAUUAUCCUCUGAAAUGGCAUGUACACUGUGAAUAUGAUUUAUUUACUACUAGGCUAGAAGGGUUGGGAGAAGAAGGAAGAAUGACAUAAUCUGUACAGGGAAAAACGAGCUUGAUGUUUAAUGUGUGGGACGCCACCCUUGGUGCGAAGAUGGGGUGUAUUUAAUAACUGUCUGUAAGGUAAUUGUGACACUUGGUGACUGCUCCUGUUCUUCCACUAUGAAGACAACAGGGUGUUUUGGAGUUUUAUGGGAAGUUUCUUGCUUUUGAUUGGAUUGGCAAUGUGGAUGGUUCCAUCGACCCGUUGUUUUGAUUGGAGGACUGAAAGUGUCUCUUGAUCGCCAAACUCUAAAUAUUGUAACUGGUAGUACCCAUCACACCUCAGUCGUGGAUCAGAGUUUGGGUGGAAGUGCUGAGUUUAGGUGGAAGUGCUGAGUUUAGGUAUAUUCACCAGCUGUGUUUGAUGUGUAAAACAUCAGAUAAGUGUGGGAUGUGUUUGUCUGUUUGGAGUCACAGAGACGGCCAUGUUUUAUUCUGGAUAAUUCUGCAGAAGCCUGAAUUCUAGCUUUUUCUGUAGCUCAUGGUUUUUUAUUACUAUUUUAUAUUACCAACAGUGUUUUUUAAAAAAAGCUUUUUAGGUGAAAUGUGCAGAAUGAUUCUUGAUAAGAUUAUACAUUAGCAUUCAUCUGAGCUUGAGUAAUCUGUGUGUGUGCAUGUGCGUGUGUGUGUGUGAUUGUGUGUGUGUGCAUGUGUGUACGUGUGUGUGUGGCUCAUGGUUGUGUGUAUGUGUGUGUGUGUGUCUGAUUGUAUGUGUGUGUGUGUCUGUGAGUGUGUAUGUAUAACUGUGCAAGAGUGUGUUUGUGUAUGUGAGUGUGUAUAACUGUGUGCGUGUGUCUAAUUGUGUGAGUGUGUAUAACUGUGUGUGUGUGUCUGAUUGUGUGUGUGUAUAAUUGUGUGUGUGUGUGUGUAUGUAUGACUGUGUGUGUGUGUGUGUGUGUGUCUUAGUGUGUAUAAGUGUGUGUGUGUGUCUGAUUGUGAGUGUGUAUGUAUAACUGUGUGAGAGAGUGUGUGUGUGUGUAUGUGAGUGUGUAUAACUGUGUGCAUGUGUCUGAUUGUGUGUGUGUGAGAGUGUGUAUAACUGUGUGUGUCUGAUUGUGUGUGUGUGUGAGUGUGUGUAUAACUGUGUGUGUGUGUGUGUGUGAGUGUGUAUAACUGUGUGUGUGUGUGUGUGUGUGUGUGUGUAUGUAUGACUGUGUGAGUGUGUGUAUAACUGUGUGUGUGUGUGUGUGUGAGUGUGUAUAACUGUGUGUGUGUGUGUCUCGUUUGGAGGUGCUGCUCCCUGGCUGGCUGCCCUAGCCUGUUGUCUGAGCCUCUUUCCCUGUUGCACUACUGUUGGAGCAGCUAGCAGUGCAAUAAUGAAAGGGCAUCGGUCACCAGGGCGCACGUCUAACGCUCCAGUCCAUCCUGAACGUUCCCAGAGUGCUCAGUGUCUCAGUAAACCACUGCGCAGUCUCUCACAUCCGUCCUGAACGUCCACAGUGUCUCAGUAAACCACUGCGCAGUCUCUCACAUCCAUCCUGAACGUCCACAGUGUCUCAGUAAACCACUGCGCAGUCUGUCACAUCCGUCCUGAACGUCCACAGUGUCUCAGUAAACCACUGCGCAGUCUGUCACAUCCGUCCUGAACGUCCGCAGUGUCUCAGUAAACCACUGUGCAGUCUCUCACAUUUCUGAAUAAAUUCUCAAAUGUAAACAUUUUUUUUGUUGUUAUUAUUCUGAAAUUGCAAACAAUUCAUUGGCAAAGUAACCAAACUUGAAGUCUGGUUUUGGGGGGAAAAGGAGGUUCGUGGUUUUUGCUGUUGUUUUUAAGAACUAUCGUUGGGGACUUUUUCAAACCAUGCCAGGACAGUGCCAUUGCAGGUCACUGGUCUUCAUUGUUAUGGUGUGUUUCCAUACUUGUCCAGUAACAUUGAUCAUUUAAAUCCCCAAGAAUCAAAUACCCAUCGGCAUGGUAGAUAUACAGGAGCACCCAGAUGAAGCAAUGUGAAUUUUUCAAACUCGGUUUAAAAAAAAUAAUUUAAAAAUUGUUUAAAAUCUUUAAAAUUCGUGGUGCUUUUAAUAGUGACAUUAAAGUCAAGGCAAAUGUAAAUAGUAACGUCAAUUAUGAAUGGUAAAAAUGUGACUGUUUUAUAAACAAACAAAAAACAAGAUAUUUGUCCCAUUUCCAAACAGUUGCAUAAACGGUUAUCUCAUUUUGAAUGAAUUAAUUAUUAAUACAUUUUCGGGGAGUUCUGGUGCGGCUAGAACUAAAUCUCUUCUGUGUGAAUCUCAAAAUCAUAUAUAGCCUGCCCAGCUCCCUAUCGGCCGUUUAAAUGAGUUCAAACGUGGACUACACGCUUGUGCAAUAUUCAGCCAUUUUAUAAUGGCUUUGCGUUUGUAAUUUCAUAUGGUCGUAUACAUUUUUGUUUUGACAAUAGGUUCUGAGAACCCCUCCUCCUAUUCUUCGGAACUUCUUUUCAAGUGGUUCGACCGAACUCUUGGGUGGCCAAGUGAACACUAUGCAGUCCUUUUGGCUUUCCCACACAGGCGAUAUGAGCGGAACACUUCGCUCAGAUCGCUAUUCUUCCCCUAGGCUCCGCCCACCUCCUGCCCUCUCGCCCUUUUUUUUUUUUGUCUGUGCGGGGUUGGGGUUUCUCAAAGUCCGGGUAUUGCGAGGAAUGGACGCUUCUGUGGGAGUAAACGUCCAGUUACCGACAGAGGGGAGCCCGGAGAGACGCAUUGUUUGCGUGUCCUGACCUUCUGAAGUACUGGUCAGCACGGGCCCUGACAGCUGCUGAGGCGGCAACGCCUUUGAAGAUUUAAGAGGUUAUGACCCCCCGCCUAGAGCCCUCGACCCCACCGUUCCAUCUUAUAGGGUUCCCCCCUCGCUGACACGCACAUUGGGCAGUUAAUUCUGUGAAUUAAAUGAUGCAUAUAUCCUAGAGUCGCUUUGCUAUCUUUUGUUUACUUGAACGAACCUUGAGUGCAAAGGUGGGGGGACUGUGAAUUUCAGGGGGGGAAAUCCUGAAACCAUUUUCUUAGUGAAUCUAGGAGUUAAGAUCAGACUGAACAGCAAUCAACACACUUUAUUUAUUUAUUUACUUACAUUAAUCACCGAAAAUGCGUUAACAGCGGCCCAUCAAUCGCCACGCAAAUGACUGGCUUGGGUCGUAGCCGAAUAUCCAUAACUCUUUGGUCAAAGAAAAUAAAACGUUUACGUUUCUGGUGAAA